CCUACGGGAGGCAGCAGUGGGGAAUAUUGCACAAUGGGGGAAACCCUGAUGCAGCAACGCCGCGUGAGUGAUGACGGCCUUCGGGUUGUAAAGCUCUGUCUUCAGGGACGAUAAUGACGGUACCUGACGAGGAAGCCACGGCUAACUACGUGCCAGCAGCCGCGGUAAUACGUAGGGGGCGAGCGUUGUCCGGAUUUACUGGGCGUAAGGGGAGCGUAGGCGGACAUUUAAGUGAGAUGUGAAAUACCCGGGCUCAACUUAGGUGCUGCAUUUCAAACUGGAUGUCUAGAGUGCAGGAGAGGAGAAUGGAAUUCCUGGUGUAGCGGUGAAAUGCGUAGAGAUUAGGAAGAACACCAGUGGCGAAGGCGAUUCUCUGGACUGUAACUGACGCUGAGGCUCGAAAGCGUGGGGAGCAAACAGGAUUAGAUACCCCAGUAGUC
RNAcentral lists this ribosomal RNA (440 nucleotides) under uncultured bacterium. Its description in RNAcentral is "partial 16S ribosomal RNA". It matches the Rfam family "Bacterial small subunit ribosomal RNA", at positions 338 to 795 of the family's 1533-position model. The record is from RNAcentral.